GGUAAAACCUAGAAUAUAAGGGCUCCAGAGAGAUUUAGGUCACGUGGUGGUGAAAAGUAACAUUUAGGACUGGGAAGAACCCUGAGCCCAAUCUCUGGGCUGACAUCUCACCCCGAUACAUGAGAAACUCCAUAGAGAGAGGAUCCUAGAGCUCACCAACAAGAUUAUUGAGCUGCUGACUGGAGAGGUUCAUAUAAGGUGUCAGGAUGUCGCUGUCUAUUUCUCCAUGGAGGAGUCUGAGUAUUUAGAAGGACACAAAGGUCUGUACAAGCAUGUCAUGAUGAAGGAUCACCAGCCCCUCAUAUUACCAGUUAAAGAAGACAGAACAAUACCGGAUAGAUGUCCCAGUCCUCUUCUUCAACAGGAUGAUUUAGAAGUACAUUACAGUGUCCCACAGGAUGAUCAGCUUUUCAGUCCUAUUAAAGAUCUGAACAUUAUUAAGGUUGAAGAGACAGAUAUGGACAAUUGUACAGAUAACCACCCAGCAUUAAGAUUUUACUGGAACUAAGGAGCCUAGACCAACCCCUGAAUACAACUCCAUAGCUUUAUCCCACCUCCACCAAACUUUACAGCUGACAAAAUGCAGUCGCACCGGUAACCUCCUCCUGGUGUUCACCAAACCCAGCCUCAUCCACCAGACUGCCACAUAGAAGUGUGAUUCAUCAAUCCACAGAACACAUUUCCACUGCUCCAAAGUUCAGAGAUGACCGUUCGGAAAGCUCAGCAGAACAUCUGAUAUCAUAUUUUAAAACAGAUGAAUGUAAUGUCACAGAAGAAGAGCAUGCCAUUAUCUCAGAUGUGUCCUCUGAUCCUUUGGAUAGCGUCAAAUCUCCAAAUUCAUCACAGACUGUUAAGAAAAAUAAAAGUCACAGAAGAAGUGUUCACCAUCAAAGAACUCACACAGGGGAGAAGUCUUUUUCAUGCUCAGAAUGUGGAAAAUGUUUUAACCGCAAAUCAGUUCUAGUUACACAUAAGAUAAUUCACACAGGGGAGAAGCCAUUUUCAUGUUCAGAAUGUGACAAAUGUUUUAAUCGCAAAUCAAUUCUUCUUAUACAUGAGAGAAUUCACACAGGGGCAAAGCCAUUUUCAUGCUCAAAAUGUGAAAAACGUUUUUACCGUAUGUCAGACCUUAUUGUCCAUGAGAAAAUUCACACAGGGGAGACACCGUUUCCAUGCUCAGAAUGUGGGAAAUGUUUCAGCUAUAAAGCACAUCUUGCUAAACAUCAGAUAAUGCACACAAUGGAGAAGCCAUUUUCAUGUUUAGACUGUGGGAAAUGUUUUAAACGUAAAUCACAUCUUGUUAUGCAUGAGAAAAUUCACACAGCGCAGAAGCCAUUUUUAUGUUCAGAAUGUGGGAAAAAUUUUCACUGUAAAUCACAUCUUGUUAGACAUGAGCAAAUUCACACAGGAGAGAAGCCAUUUUCAUGUUCAGAAUGUGGGAAAUGUUUUAACCGUAAAUCACAUCUGCUUAGCCACCAGAAAACUCACACAGGCUUGUAGGCAUUAUCAUGUUCAGAAUGUGGGAAACGUUACAGAGUUAAGUCAAGUUUUAUCACACAUCAGAGGAUUCACACAGGAAAAAUAUUUUCAUGUUCGAAAUAUAGAAAAUGUUUUAUCCAUGUAUCAUCUUAAGCAUUAAAGGGAGUCUGUUACCAGUAAAUUCACUGGUAAACCCAGUCUUGUAGGGCUAGCUCAGCUGAAUGUAAUGAUGCCUUUCACUUAUGGAUUUGUUGCUUCAGUUCACUUAACUGAUCAUUUUGCAAUAAGCAGUUAAGUGCGCUGAAGGAGGGCCUAAGCCACUCUGCGCACUCUUCCUCCUCCUGCUUCCUCUGCCCUCACAUUCCUUUCCUUGUUGACUGACAGAGCCAGAGGAAGAGAGAGAGGGGCUGGCAGAGAAAGCAGGAGAAGCAACAGUGCACAGAGUGUUAAUGCCCCCCCUUAGUGCACUGCUGAUGUGAAAAUAAACUAAAACUACUUCUCUAGAAUGAAGUAAUGGAUUGCUAAGUGAAAGGUAUCAUUAAACUCAGCUGAGCUAGCCCUACAAGGCAUUGUACCUGGUUUACCAGUAAAUUUCCUGGUAACAACAGUUACAGUCAAAGUAAAGAUGAAAAAAAGAUUCAAAUUCCUCAGUGGUUGAUACAAUACCUUUUAAUGGCUAACUGAAAAGAUGAUGGCAAAAUGGCACGCUUUCGAGGCUACUUUAGCCUCUUCAUCAGGCGUCUCUUAAGACAAUAUAUGAAGGUUCAGGUUCACAUACUUAUACACCAAAGUACAUAAUGAGGUAGAUGAGACAAGUGAUGUAAAGCAAAUUAAUAUGAAUGGCGGAGUAAAAAAAAAUGUUGUAACAGUA
RNA transcript from Bufo gargarizans (Asiatic toad), 2350 nucleotides. It is a transcript of the gene named oocyte zinc finger protein XlCOF6.1-like, with no coding region annotated. Lineage: Eukaryota; Metazoa; Chordata; Amphibia; Anura; Bufonidae. The record is from RefSeq and is a predicted model, not a curated record. The transcript has 7 exons.